AGGACGAACGCUGGCGGCGUGCUUAACACAUGCAAGUCGAGCGGAAAGGCCCUUCGGGGUACUCGAGCGGCGAACGGGUGAGUAACACGUGAGCAACCUGCCCUUAGCUCCGGGAUAGCUCCGGGAAACCGGAAUUAAUACCGGAUAUGACCACGGCCGACAUCUGCUGUGGUGGAAAGGAUUCCGGCUAAGGAUGGGCUCGCGGCCUAUCAGCUAGUUGGUGGAGUAACGGCCCACCAAGGCGACGACGGGUA
Molecule: ribosomal RNA, 254 nt
Filed under: uncultured bacterium
Lineage: Bacteria
Description: partial small subunit ribosomal RNA
Rfam family: Bacterial small subunit ribosomal RNA
Source: RNAcentral